CAGUAGCCGCGGUAAAACGUAGGGUGCAAGCGUUAAUCGGAAUUACUGGGCGUAAAGCGUGCGCAGGCGGUUAUAUAAGACAGAUGUGAAAUCCCCGGGCUCAACCUGGGAACUGCAUUUGUGACUGUAUAGCUAGAGUACGGCAGAGGGGGAUGGAAUUCCGCGUGUAGCAGUGAAAUGCGUAGAUAUGCGGAGGAACACCGAUGGCGAAGGCAAUCCCCUGGGCCUGUACUGACGCUCAUGCACGAAAGCGUGUGGAGCAAACAGGAUUAGAUACCCCAGUAGUCCCUGUCUCUUAUAC
RNAcentral lists this ribosomal RNA (301 nucleotides) under uncultured bacterium. Its description in RNAcentral is "partial 16S ribosomal RNA". It matches the Rfam family "Bacterial small subunit ribosomal RNA", at positions 509 to 807 of the family's 1533-position model. The record is from RNAcentral.